ACUAUCUCUUAUCUAUGGUCCAGUCUCCAAACAAAUAUAAGAAAUUUUGUACAAAAGUAAAUCAAAUAUUUUUGUAAGUGUUUGUGGUACAUAGUCGUAUGUAUGCGAGAAGAUGCCCAGUUCUUUACACCGGAGACUGCGUAUUUAAUAAUCAAUAUUUAAAAUUAAUAAUGGUAAACGCUUGUUGUGCUCCCAACUGUAGGGGUAAUUAUAACAAUGGACCAAAAGUGGCAAUAUUCUCAUUCCCAAAAGAUGAGGUUUUGCGGAAACAAUGGAUUAAAGGAAUAAAAAGAGAACCUUCAUUUAUUCCAACAAAAAACACUAAGGUAUGUGAGCUUCAUUUUAAACCCUUUGAGAUUGAAAGAGUUACAACCUGCACUAUUGAAUCAACCGGAGAGGUACUAACAGCCAAAUUAAAAAAACCUCGUUUGAUCAAAGGUGCGGUACCGUCUAUCGUCUUGUCCAUCUAAACCCAAAUGUGAUCACAGGGGAAGUUCUGUGGCAAAAGGGCAAAAAUUAAAUAUAACACAUUGAGCAAGCAGUAGGUGAAAAUCUUGAGACUGAAUCCAAUUAUGUGGAUAAAAUAAGAUUUACCGACUUUUAAAUAGGGUUUGAAAAGAUAACAUAUGCUAAUGUGGAAAGGUA
Molecule: long non-coding RNA, 645 nt
Organism: Cylas formicarius (sweet potato weevil)
Lineage: Eukaryota; Metazoa; Arthropoda; Insecta; Coleoptera; Brentidae
Exons: 3
Source: RefSeq, a predicted model, not a curated record